CUCAAAAGCUCAAAUACUACUUCAACUACAACCCAGAAUCCUAGAUAAGUUGGAAAGGAGGUGCCGUGGAUGCAGAGCAGGAGCAAAGAGAAGAGGGAGAAGGAUGACUGGCAGAUCUCCGGGAACAGCCUGAUGUCGAGUUAAGCGCUGCCGCACAGCCACAUCUAGGCCUGAUGGCUGAAAGUCCCAGUGUGUGACAUUCGCAUCUGGCCGGUGGGUUAUUUCCUUGCUCGAUGCCAGGUGACUCUGGAGGUCCGACAGAGUCACCUAGAAGUCAGCUCAGAGGCAAGGAGGAAAGGUGGAAUCGAGAUGAUGCAGUCACAGUUGAGGACAUCACAAAGACAACAGCUGAUUGUGUUGAACAAAGAUCGCACAUAUCUUAAGAUUAUGGAGACAAUGCAAACGUGUUAGUACAGGAUAAUGGUGUGCAUGACCUAUAUCAUGUUGCUGUUGUUUGUUUUCCCCCAUCCUUCAGAGCAGCAACGUUCAUUGUAACUAGGGACCACCCUAAAUAAAAAGAGGAGUCGGAGAGAUGGU
Girardinichthys multiradiatus is the source of this 537-nucleotide long non-coding RNA. RefSeq lists it as uncharacterized. The transcript has 3 exons. The record is from RefSeq and is a predicted model, not a curated record. NCBI's taxonomy places the organism in Eukaryota, Metazoa, Chordata, Actinopteri, Cyprinodontiformes, Goodeidae.